Long non-coding RNA from Callithrix jacchus (white-tufted-ear marmoset), 2166 nucleotides. The record is from Ensembl. Lineage: Eukaryota; Metazoa; Chordata; Mammalia; Primates; Cebidae.
AUAUGUUUUGUUGAUGAUGGAGAACUUUGAAAAGAAGUUUUGUUUUGUUUUUAAAUACACCCUCAUAGAUCCAAUGCAGUUGAGACGGCGACCAAAGCCAAUUUCCCUAGAAACGCCAAAUCAAAAACACGUGGUGAGGCUCUGACCUGGAGUGCUUCAUCCUAAAUAACGCAUUUUAUAAACCCUGAAAAAUAAAAAGACUCAAAAGAACAUUCUGGGCCCGCACGGCUGCUUUUCAUCCCUUUCAUCACUAGGUGUCCCCGUGGUUAGCAAAUCCCAUCUGGAAUGCUGCGUCCUUGUACAUCCUUCCUGGAAGGCAGGUGGGGGAUAGUCAGCCACACUGGGGGCGCUUUUUGCCCGGUGGGGCGGGGAGGGGGCGGGGCUUCCUGAAGGGGCGGGGCUUGUGUGCGGGCAGAGCCACUCAUCUGACACAGAGGAGGAGCCAUCCUUGAACUGACAGGCCUGGGUGGAAUCAGCAUGGAGAGACUAAAACGUGAAAGGAACACUGUCAGAAACCAAUUUCCACCGCAGGAAAUGAGCGUGGCCUAGAAUAGAUGCAGAGCAUGAUUAAACUGCAGGACGGGCUCGGGAGGGAGGCUGAGCGGGCACUCAUCUCCCGGGAGGCGCCCCAGACCUACGCUGGGGCCACUGCUGAGUCAGAUCCCCGGAGGCGGUUCUUUGCAGAUGUCGCAGAGAAACAGGAUGCUGUGAGUCUUUUUGGGAAAUUCAGGCGCACAAAGACACCAGAAACAUGCACCCUCAGAGAAAAGGCCGGGUGAGGAUGCAGCGGGAGACAGCGACCCUCAGCAAGCCAAGGAGGGGCCUCCAGAGAAACCGAUCCCACCAACACCCCGAUCUGGGACUUGGAGCCUCCAGGACUGUGAGAAGUCGCUUUCUGUCACAUAAGCCACCCGUCUGUGUUUUCUCAUUGAGGCCGCUUUAGCAAAUGAAUACAAAUACAGGACCAAGAAGCCCGGAGGGCUGUGAACCUGCUUUGUCUCUCACAGGUGUGGGGUAUCUUAGGUCUCCUCUGGGCUGAGGUCUGCUUGCCGUUGGGUUCACACUGUGGGCACUCCUCCCAGGAGCUUUCCUGGUCCCUCUCCCUUUAGUCCCAAUCUCAACCAUCCCUCCAUGCUGACCAUACCCAACGCCCCAGCGCUGACUUCUCCAGGCCUGUAUUUCAGCUUCAUCCCAAUCUCAACCAUCCCUCCAUGCUGACCAUACCCAACGCCCCAGCGCUGACUUCUCCAGGCCUGUAUUUCAGCUUCCUCCUCCCAUUCACGCACACGUCGGAACAGGAGCUUAUUAUCUGAACUCCCAAACCCACCCCUCCGUCCAGUGGAUGGCAUCAGCAUUCUGCCCUGCAGGCUUGAAAGGGCGAGUAUCGAGGGGUGCCUCGAGAGUGCUGCCCAGAACCACUGUCUUUCUGGAAGUUACUGAAUUAUUUCAAACUGCAUUGAAGAUGUGUUUGUAGCACAGUGAUUUCUCCUGUGUGGGGUUUAGCCGUUGGCCCCAGUUCAGGAGAUGACAUCCAAAGCAUAAUAAUCAAGCCCUCCCCUCUCGAGGACAGCUAGUCUGGAAUGACAGUCCCUGUCUGGAUUUCUGGGACCUCUUCCUUGUUUCAGUACUUCAUCUCCAUGUCAUCAGACUGUUGAAAGGCUUUCUAAAAGGCUGGGUGUCCCUGGUUUUGACUCUAGAUUUUCAUGCCCCUGCCAAAAUAAUCUUCUGGAUUUACUUCGAGGGCAUUCGAUUAUGUGAGAGAUAAAAUCUAAAUCCCUUUCAAUGGCAUUCAAGGCUCUCCAGCUCCGAUCCUAAUCAGCCCUCCCAAGGCUGUUUCCACUUUUCCUCUUCUCCCACUGUAUCCUCUCACUCACCAAAGGCAGCCAGGCUUGAAACCGACAGCCUGGGUUCAAAUCCUGACCUCGCUACUUACUUGCUGUGUGACCUGAGGAGGCUUGUCAAGCACUAGGUAAUAAUAUCAAUAGCUAACUUUAACCCAGCACUUAGCUUGUAUCAGGCCCCACGACAAGAGAUCUCACAACUUGUUUUACUCAAUUCUCCUGCCAGCCCAAUUCUGUAGGGAACCCUCGGUCUUACUACCAUCCUCCUUGUACGCAGGAGAGCAAGGCACUAGACAUUUCAGUGCCUUUCCCAAGGCUCGAAGCC